UUCUAGCCCUGAUCGCAGCGGCAUCCUUUUUUGCCAUGAGAUUGCUUUGUUCUUUGCAAUGAUUUUCUGGCAAAAAAGAUACAGCGGAGAGCAGGAUUAAGC
This 102-nucleotide small RNA is filed under the name Kaistella chaponensis. RNAcentral describes it as "Chryseobacterium chaponense Flavo-1 RNA". It matches the Rfam family "Flavo-1 RNA". Lineage: Bacteria; Pseudomonadati; Bacteroidota; Flavobacteriia; Flavobacteriales; Weeksellaceae. The record is from RNAcentral.